UGGGGAAUAUUGCGCAAUGGGCGAAAGCCUGACGCAGCGACGCCGCGUGAGGGAUGAAGGUUUUCGGAUCGUAAACCUCUGUCAGAAGGGAAGAAACCGCACUGUGCUAAUCAGCAGUGCCUUGACGGUACCUUCAAAGGAAGCACCGGCUAACUCCGUGCCAGCAGCCGCGGUAAUACGGAGGGUGCAAGCGUUAAUCGGAAUUACUGGGCGUAAAGCGCACGUAGGCUGCUUUGUAAGUCAGGGGUGAAAUCCCACGGCUCAACCGUGGAACUGCCUUUGAUACCGCUUAGCUUGAAUCCGGGAGAGAGUGGCGGAAUUCCAGGUGUAGGAGUGAAAUCCGUAGAUAUCUGGAGGAACAUCAGUGGCGAAGGCGGUCACCUGGACCGGUAUUGACGCUGAGGUGCGAAAGCGUGGGGAGCAAACAGG
Molecule: ribosomal RNA, 429 nt
Filed under: Fusobacteriota bacterium
Lineage: Bacteria; Fusobacteriati; Fusobacteriota
Description: Fusobacteria bacterium partial 16S ribosomal RNA
Rfam family: Bacterial small subunit ribosomal RNA
Source: RNAcentral